GGUCAAGAAACUAAGGGCGCAAGGCGGAUGCCUUGGCACCAGGAGGCGACGAAGGACGUGACAAGCAACGAAAACCUCGAGUAGGAGCAAAUAUCCAGUGACUCGGGGGAAUCCGAAUGGGGAAACCUACUAGACACACUCUAGUAUCCAUACGUAAAUACAUAGCGUAUGGAAGCGAAUGUUCUGAACUGAAACAUCUAAGUAGGAACAAGAAAAGAAAGAAAACUCGAUUCUCCAAGUAGCGGCGAGCGAACAGAGAACAGCCCAUUAAAGUAAGACUAAACUGAUAGACAAAUCUUAUGGAAAGAAGAACCAAAGAAAGUAACAGUCUUGUAGUCGAAAUCAGAAUAGAGACACUUUAAGAAGAGUACCACGGAGCACGUGAAAUUCUGUGGGAAGAUAGGGGGACCACCCCCUAAGGCUAAAUACUACCUGGUGACCGAUAGCGAAUAGUACCGUGAGGGAAAGGUGAAAAGAACCCCGGGAGGGGAGUGAAAUAGAACCUGAAACCUUGCGCCUACAAGCAGACAGAGGAAGAAGACUUCUAAUGUCGUACUUUUUGUAGAACGGGCCAGCGAGUUACGAUACGUAGCAAGAUUAAACAUUUAAGAUGUGAAGUCGUAGGGAAACCGAGUCUUAAUAGGGCAAAAGUUGCGUGUUGUAGACCCGAAACCGGGUGAUCUAUCCAUGGGCAGAGUGAAGGUAAAGUAAAAUUUACUGGAGGCUCGAACCGGGUAGCGUUUAAAAGCUAUCGGAUGACCUGUGGAUAGGGGUGAAAAGCCAAUCGAACUCGGAUAUAGCUGGUUCUCCUCGAAAUAGCUUUAGGGCUAGCCUUGUUUUAGAUUACAGGAGGUAGAGCACUGAAUAGUCUAGGGGAAGUAAUUCUACCGAAACUUAUCAAACUCCGAAUGCCUGAAAAUCGAUGAACAGGAGUCAGACCAUGAGGGAUAAGCUUCAUAGUCAAAAGGGAAACAGCCCAGACCACCAGUUAAGGUCCCAAAAUACAGAUUAAGUGGGAAAGGAUGUAAUACUACUCAGACAACCAGGAUGUUGGCUCAGAAGCAGCCAUACAUUUAAAGAGUGCGUAAUAGCUCACUGGUCAAGUGGUAAUGCGCCGAAGAUGAACGGGGCUAAAUCUGAUACCGAAACUGUGGGAUAGAAAAGCAAUUAUGCGAGAAGUAUGAAGUAAAAGUGAUUAGGAAAUAUAUCAACUAGUAAAGUAAGAGAGAAAGACAUAAACAAAAUUUGUGAAAACACAAAGCGUAAAACUAUUAAACGAUACAAUUUCUAAAACACUUAACAACAUACAACUGGCAUAAUAGCUUUUCUAUCGGUAGAGGAGCGUUGUAUAUGAGAAGAAGCAAAAAGCGUAAGCAAUUGUGGAUUAUAUACAAGUGAGAAUGCUGGCAUGAGUAGCGAAAAGGGAUGUGAGAAUCAUCCCCGUCGAAAGCCCAAGGAUUCCUGAGCAAGGCUCGUCCUCUCAGGGUAAGUCGGGACCUAAGGCGAGGCCGAAAGGCGUAGUCGAUGGACAACAGGUAGAAAUUCCUGUACUACAAGAUUGUGAUUGAGAGAAGUACUGACGCAGAAGGAAAAGUCGAGCGUGCUGAUGGUUAUGCACGUCCAAAUAACAAGCCAGAAUAUACAGGCAAAUCCGUAUAUUCGUCAACGUAAGUUAUGAUGGGGAGCAGAAAGAUGCGAAGCGACAGAUUCAAACUGCCAAGAAAAGGUGCUAUCGAAUAAUCUUGUACCCGUACCGCAAACCGACACAGGUAGGCAAGAAGAGAAUUCUAAGACGCGCGGAAGAACCUUUGUUAAGGAACUCGGCAAAAUAAUCCCGUAAGUUAGCGAGAAGGGAUGCCUAAGAAAUUAGGUCGCAGAGAAUAGGCCCAAGCGACUGUUUACCAAAAACACAAGUAUCUGCUAAAUCGAAAGAUGAAGUAUAGGUGCUGACACCUGCCCGGUGCUGGAAGGUCAAGGGGACUUGUUAGAGCAAUCGAAGCAACGAACUUAAGCCCCAGUAAACGGCGGCCGUAACUAUAACGGUCCUAAGGUAGCGAAAUUCCUUGUCGGGUAAGUUCCGAC
Molecule: ribosomal RNA, 2082 nt
Filed under: Clostridioides difficile
Lineage: Bacteria; Bacillati; Bacillota; Clostridia; Peptostreptococcales; Peptostreptococcaceae
Description: partial 23S ribosomal RNA
Rfam family: Bacterial large subunit ribosomal RNA
Source: RNAcentral